RNAcentral lists this ribosomal RNA (277 nucleotides) under Acidaminococcus fermentans DSM 20731. RNAcentral describes it as "partial 16S ribosomal RNA". It matches the Rfam family "Bacterial small subunit ribosomal RNA", at positions 492 to 776 of the family's 1533-position model. Lineage: Bacteria; Bacillati; Bacillota; Negativicutes; Acidaminococcales; Acidaminococcaceae. The record is from RNAcentral.
UAUGGUAAUUGUGCCGCCGCGGUAAUACGUAGGUGGCAAGCGUUGUCCGGAAUUAUUGGGCGUAAAGAGCAUGUAGGCGGGCUUUUAAGUCCGACGUGAAAAUGCGGGGCUUAACCCCGUAUGGCGUUGGAUACUGGAAGUCUUGAGUGCAGGAGAGGAAAGGGGAAUUCCCAGUGUAGCGGUGAAAUGCGUAGAUAUUGGGAGGAACACCAGUGGCGAAGGCGCCUUUCUGGACUGUGUCUGACGCUGAGAUGCGAAAGCCAGGGUAGCAAACGGG